RNAcentral lists this ribosomal RNA (450 nucleotides) under uncultured bacterium. RNAcentral's name for it is "partial 16S ribosomal RNA". It matches the Rfam family "Bacterial small subunit ribosomal RNA", at positions 354 to 796 of the family's 1533-position model. The record is from RNAcentral.
GUGGGGAAUAUUGGACAAUGGGCGAAAGCCUGAUCCAGCCAUGCCACGUGUGUGAAGAAGGUCUUCGGAUUGUAAAGCACUUUAAGUUGGGAGGAAGGGCAGUAAGUUAAUACCUUGCUGUUUUGACGUUACCGACAGAAUAAGCACCGGCUAACUUCGUGCCAGCAGCCGCGGUAAUACGAAGGGUGCAAGCGUUAAUCGGAAUUACUGGGCGUAAUGCGCGCGUAGGUGGUUUUGUAAGUUGGAGGUGAAAUCCCCGGGCUCAACCUGGGAACUGCCUCAAAAACUGCAUGACUAGAGUACGGUAGAGGGUGGAGGAAUUUCCUGUGUAGCGGUGAAAGGCGUAGAUAUAGGAAGGAACACCAGUGGCGAAGGCGACCACCUGGACUGAUACUGACACUGAGGUGCGAAAGCGUGGGGAGCAAACAGGAUUAGAAACCCCGGUAGUCC